GUUUUUUUGUCCUUCAAAAACAAAUGUCAGAGCUGUUUUUCAAAGCAAUUAUUCUUUACUUUCACAGUGUUCCUGUCUGAAUCAGAUGAGAACUAUAACAGCGUUUCAGACAUGGACUUGAGAAUAGCCAUGCCAGUUAAGGCUACGCUCUCUGUUAGAGUUCGUAUAAACUUUGCAACAGACCAAGUUUACCAGUAGGUGGGGGGUUGGAGGGAGUACUGUACUUGGAGAUAAGGC
This is a long non-coding RNA of Fundulus heteroclitus (mummichog), 237 nucleotides long. RefSeq lists it as uncharacterized. The record is from RefSeq and is a predicted model, not a curated record. NCBI's taxonomy places the organism in Eukaryota, Metazoa, Chordata, Actinopteri, Cyprinodontiformes, Fundulidae. The transcript is spliced from 3 exons.